GGGGUGAAUUCUGGAAUCGGCCUCGGGGGAAAGUUCCUCAUCGAGUUGGAACCAGCACCAAAGUGGGCAUUGCCGGCCGGGCGAGUCGUGGUUGGAGCCGGAGCUUGGGGGUCCUCCCGUUGGAUCGGGGUGGGCGCUCUAGGCUGUACGGGUGCUGAAUUGGAGGAGUUCCCGGCAUGAGCUGAGAAGCUCAGAUGAUGUUGCGCGUACUGAUGUACCAUGACAGGUCUGCGGGGGCUUGACCCAUGCGGGCGCCGAAGAGACGACAUGGGUAUCUCCUUCCUUCCUUUUUGC
Molecule: long non-coding RNA, 294 nt
Filed under: Glycine max (soybean)
Lineage: Eukaryota; Viridiplantae; Streptophyta; Magnoliopsida; Fabales; Fabaceae
Description: long non-coding RNA (GMAX_LNC001819)
Source: RNAcentral